This is a small nuclear RNA of Pongo abelii (Sumatran orangutan), 100 nucleotides long. NCBI's taxonomy places the organism in Eukaryota, Metazoa, Chordata, Mammalia, Primates, Hominidae. The record is from Ensembl.
GUGGUCACUAUGGCAGCACGUAUACCAAAAUUGGAAUGAUACGGAAAAGAUUAGCAUGGCCCCUGCGCAAGGAUGACAGUUUUUUUUCUUCUUUUUUUUU